This 451-nucleotide ribosomal RNA is filed under the name uncultured Fibrobacter sp. RNAcentral's name for it is "partial 16S ribosomal RNA". It matches the Rfam family "Bacterial small subunit ribosomal RNA", at positions 341 to 792 of the family's 1533-position model. The record is from RNAcentral. Lineage: Bacteria; Pseudomonadati; Fibrobacterota; Fibrobacteria; Fibrobacterales; Fibrobacteraceae.
ACGGGAGGCAGCAGUAGGGAAUAUUGCACAAUGGGGGGAACCCUGAUGCAGCAACGCCACGUGUGGGAAGAAGCAUUUCGGUGUGUAAACCACUGUCGUGAGGGAAUAAUGCUUGAUUUCGGUCAAGUUGAAUGUACCUCGAAAGGAAGCACCGGCAAACUUCGUGCCAGCAGCCGCGGUAAUACGAGGGGUGCAAGCGUUGUUCGGAAUCACUGGGCGUAAAGGGAGCGCAGGCGGAGAUGCAAGCGGACUGUAAAAUCCCGGGGCCCAACCCCGGACCUGCAGUCCGGACUGCACCUCUUGGAUAGUUCAGGGGCAAGCGGAAUUCCUGGUGUAGCGGUGGAAUGCGUAGAGAUCAGGAAGAACACCGAUGGCGAAGGCAGCUUGCUGGGGACUUAUCGACGCUGAGGCUCGAAAGUGCGGGUAGCAAACAGGAUUAGAUACCCUGGUA